CCAUUGGUUCUUGCACUGUCCAAUUCCCUUUCCUAUAGUCCCUCAACAUAAUGUUACUACUUCCUCCACUAUCCAUGCAAAAAAAAAAAAAAAAACUUUAGGCAAAAAAAGGCAAAAAAGGAAAAAAAAAAAAAAGGUCUACUCCUUUGGCUUUUUGUGAAGGAAUUUUAAGUUGGUGCUUCAAGAAAAGGACAAGGUCAAAUGAAGGUUUUAUUUACAUGGUUCUAAGGUUUAAAUCAUGUGGAUGGUUUUGAAAUUUGCAAAUGGGAAUGAUGAGAAGCAAGUAGUAGUAAAAGUGAAGUGGUAGCUGCAGCAUCAAACAGGCCAAGACCACAUUCCUCAUCCAAAUGUUGAAACCCACCGCGAUGCUAAUCAUGUUGCUCAACCUGGAUUUUGCUUAUGGAUUUCAGUUCUAAUUUUGUUAGCAAUGAACUUGUUUUUCUGGAACUGUGGAUUUUGCAUCAGUUUAUCAGAUUUUAGGUCUUAUAUUUGGACAAAUAGAAAUUGUUCCGUUAAUAAUUCUCCAAAUGGGAGCUAUGUUGCUUGUUUUUGAACCUAUUAUUCUAGUUAUUUGAGGUUUUUUGCCACUGUGCCUUUUAUUGAGUAGUACAGAUUUUUUGUCUUGUGAUCAGAUGGCUAUUGUAAUUGAAUGAGCUAUAUAUUUUGCCAAAGUUGUUUUUCUAUUUAA
Long non-coding RNA from Lycium ferocissimum, 688 nucleotides. RefSeq lists it as uncharacterized. The record is from RefSeq and is a predicted model, not a curated record. Lineage: Eukaryota; Viridiplantae; Streptophyta; Magnoliopsida; Solanales; Solanaceae. The transcript has 2 exons.